UCUAGUAUAAGCAAUCUAUACGGUGAAACUGCGAAUGGCUCAUUAAAUCAGUUAUCGUUUAUUUGAUAGUACCUUACUACUUGGAUAACCGUGGUAAUUCUAGAGCUAAUACAUGCUAAAAACCCCGACUUCGGAAGGGGUGUAUUUAUUAGAUAAAAAACCAAUGCCCUUCGGGGCUCCUUGGUGAUUCAUAAUAACUUAACGAAUCGCAUGGCCUUGUGCCGGCGAUGGUUCAUUCAAAUUUCUGCCCUAUCAACUUUCGAUGGUAGGAUAGUGGCCUACCAUGGUUUCAACGGGUAACGGGGAAUUAGGGUUCUAUUCCGGAGAGGGAGCCUGAGAAACGGCUACCACAUCCAAGGAAGGCAGCAGGCGCGCAAAUUACCCAAUCCCGACACGGGGAGGUAGUGACAAUAAAUACUGAUACAGGGCUCUUUUGGGUCUUGUAAUUGGAAUGAGUACAAUUUAAAUCCCUUAACGAGGAACAAUUGGAGGGCAAGUCUGGUGCCAGCAGCCGCGGUAAUUCCAGCUCCAAUAGCGUAUAUUAAAGUUGUUGCAGUUAAAAAGCUCGUAGUUGAACCUUGGGCCUGGCUGGCCGGUCCGCCUCACCGCGUGCACUGGUCCGGCCGGGCCUUUCCUUCUGGGGAGCCGCAUGCCCUUCACUGGGUGUGUCGGGGAACCAGGACUUUUACUUUGAAAAAAUUAGAGUGUUCAAAGCAGGCCUAUGCUCGAAUACAUUAGCAUGGAAUAAUAGAAUAGGACGUGUGGUUCUAUUUUGUUGGUUUCUAGGACCGCCGUAAUGAUUAAUAGGGAUAGUCGGGGGCAUCAGUAUUCAAUUGUCAGAGGUGAAAUUCUUGGAUUUAUUGAAGACUAACUACUGCGAAAGCAUUUGCCAAGGAUGUUUUCAUUAAUCAGUGAACGAAAGUUA
This 925-nucleotide ribosomal RNA is filed under the name Helotiales sp. RNAcentral describes it as "SSU rRNA". It matches the Rfam family "Eukaryotic small subunit ribosomal RNA", at positions 59 to 992 of the family's 1831-position model. The record is from RNAcentral. Lineage: Eukaryota; Fungi; Ascomycota; Leotiomycetes; Helotiales.